ACCAAGUUUUGGGGUUUUGCCUCGUUUUCAUUGCUAAAAUCCUAGGAAUAAGGAUAAAUCUUAAAUUUUUGAACAACUUUUUUUCUGUGUAUAUAGUCAAGUCUGCAAGGUUUAUAAUGUGUACCCUGGUUUUGUUUUUAUCAGUUAUUUUAUUACUAUUGUCAACUGUCAUGAUUCAUGAAUUCUCAUAUUUUUGUAUUUUAGUGUACAACUUUAAAUUAUUGAAGAAAGUGGUGACGAAUAAACUCAACAAAAAUCAAUUUCCAGGAAUGAUAAAUACUACGAAAUAUUCGAAUGCCGUUCUGUAUAGCCACCAGCGUUUACAUAACAACGUUCACUUUCUACGUGCCUGGAACAAAUUGCAAGUUAAAAUAUACAAUGAAAUAGCCGUGGCGUAUAAACAUCGCACUAAAGCUAAUUUCAGCGAUCCGUUUCUGUGGUCAAGCUGCGCUAAAGGAUACUAGGAUACGGAUACAGAAGGUAUUUUGACUUCAUCACCUAUGGUUCCAGGCCAUGUUGACCUUGUGGGCUAGGGUAUACUACAACUGGACACACUGAGAUGGUAAUCUGAUGAUGAUCAAAUAAUGGAGGGCAUAAGUAUCUUCUCAGACAACCAAGCAGCAAGUUAAUCGGUAGAGAGAGUGAGUUUUUCUGGGCUUCACAAUAUCCGACUUUAAUAUGGUUCAGAUCGGUUUAUAAUGUGAUAUGUCUGCCAAAAAGACCAAUAUUUUGCUCUACAACAUUGAAUAGUGACAUAUAUAUUAGACCACUCAAUGUCCGUGCCGAAUUUGGGUGCAUAAGUUAUAAACCCGAGGUGAUGGGUAUCCAAAGUUCGGCACGGCCGAAGUUAAUGCCUUUUUACUUGUUGCAAAUGGCAUAGAUCCUCACAAAUCUCGCCACUAUUAGGUGGCGAUAAUCAACGCUAAACAUUUUUUUGGAUAUUCUCGCCAGUAUUCGGACCCAGUCGUUCAGCGUUUUCAAGUACUAGGGAAUGUCCUACUAAAAGAAUUCAGCAAGUUUUAUUGCUUCAAAAAGUAAUCUUGAAAAUAAACGCGAAAGGCGAAUAUAGUACCGGCCUUCAACCAAAAAAAAAAAUCCUUUCGAUAAAACUCGGUUGAAAUUUUAAUUAGUGAAGUAUUUUGCCUUGUUUAUUAUAAGCAUGACUAUUUUUGGUGUACUUUAAAUAUAUAUUUAAAAUAUA
This is a long non-coding RNA of Stomoxys calcitrans (stable fly), 1201 nucleotides long. RefSeq lists it as uncharacterized. The transcript is spliced from 2 exons. Lineage: Eukaryota; Metazoa; Arthropoda; Insecta; Diptera; Muscidae. The record is from RefSeq and is a predicted model, not a curated record.